GGGGAUGUCUUGGUUUCGACAGGGAUAUUGAAGUUUGAAUAGCGAGUCGUUUUCGUCUACAAACGUAAAAAAGGACAACUAAAUAUAAACGCUGAAGAUAAUAACUUCGCAUUAGCUGCCUAAUAACGGCGGCCGAUUCAAAAACUAGAAAAUCGUCCUGCGUUUUCUUUUUGAAUCUCAACUAAUUAGCAGGAACAUCUCGUAUAUUUUCCUCUGGUAUAUGAGAUUAUUUAAGAGGAUAUAUCGAUCAUAGUUUUGUCAAUUAAAUUUUGAUCGACGAAUAAAACUUAAUUGACUGCACUCGGAGAAGUUCUUAGGGAUAUAUUUUUGGACAGGAGUUCGAAUCUCCUCAUCUCCACCA
RNAcentral lists this transfer-messenger RNA (361 nucleotides) under Finegoldia magna. RNAcentral's name for it is "Standard tmRNA". It matches the Rfam family "transfer-messenger RNA". Rfam says of the family: Bacterial tmRNA, also known as 10Sa RNA or SsrA, is named for its dual tRNA and mRNA-like properties. Its role is to liberate the mRNA from a stalled ribosome. To accomplish this part of the tmRNA is used as a reading frame that ends in a translation stop signal. Lineage: Bacteria; Bacillati; Bacillota; Tissierellia; Tissierellales; Peptoniphilaceae. The record is from RNAcentral.